This 473-nucleotide ribosomal RNA is filed under the name Eikenella corrodens. Its description in RNAcentral is "bacterial SSU rRNA". It matches the Rfam family "Bacterial small subunit ribosomal RNA", at positions 30 to 495 of the family's 1533-position model. Lineage: Bacteria; Pseudomonadati; Pseudomonadota; Betaproteobacteria; Neisseriales; Neisseriaceae. The record is from RNAcentral.
AUUGAACGCUGGCGGCAUGCUUUACACAUGCAAGUCGAACGGCAGCGGGGUAGUGCUUGCUCUACUGCCGGCGAGUGGCGAACGGGUGAGUAAUAUAUCGGAACGUACCGAGUAAUGGGGGAUAACCAAUCGAAAGAUUGGCUAAUACCGCAUACGUCCUGAGGGAGAAAGCGGGGGAUCGCAAGACCUCGCGUUAUUCGAGCGGCCGAUAACUGAUUAGCUAGUUGGUGGGGUAAAGGCCUACCAAGGCGACGAUCAGUAGCGGGUCUGAGAGGACGAUCCGCCACACUGGGACUGAGACACGGCCCAGACUCCUACGGGAGGCAGCAGUGGGGAAUUUUGGACAAUGGGGGCAACCCUGAUCCAGCCAUGCCGCGUGUAUGAAGAAGGCCUUCGGGUUGUAAAGUACUUUUGUUAGGGAAGAAAAGGGAAGUGCUAAUACCACUUUGCUGACUGUACCUAAGAUAGCCCCG